This 271-nucleotide ribosomal RNA is filed under the name uncultured prokaryote. RNAcentral's name for it is "partial 16S ribosomal RNA". It matches the Rfam family "Bacterial small subunit ribosomal RNA", at positions 524 to 792 of the family's 1533-position model. The record is from RNAcentral.
AACGUAGGGGGACGAGCGUUAUCCGGAUUUACUGGGGCGUAAAAGAGCGUUGAGGCGGUUCCGUAAGUUGGGCGUGAAAGCCCCGGGCUUAACCCGGGGAGGUCGUUCAAUACUGCGGAACUUGAGGGCAGCAGAGGGAGGUGGAAUUCCCGGAGUAGCGGUGAAAUGCGUAGAUAUCGGGAGGAACACCAGUGGCGAAGGCGGCCUCCUGGGCUGUUCCUGACGCUGAAGGCGAAAGCUAGGGGAGCAAACGGGAUUAGAUACCCGUGUA